CCCUUAGAUGUUCUGGGCUGCACACGUGCUACACUGGCAGGUUCAGCGAGCUUCAUGCCCUGAUCUGAAAGGAAUGGGAAAUCUUUUCAAAACCUGCCGUGUUGGGAUAGAUGUUUGCAAUUAUUCAUCUUCAACGAGGAUUGCCUUGUAAGCGCACGUCAUCAGCGUGCAUUGAAUACGACCCUGUAUUCUGUACACACCGCCCGUCGCUCCUACCGAUUGGAUGGUCCGGUGAAGCCUCGGGAUUGUGGCGGUUGCCUUUAUUGGUGGCCGCCGCGAGAACUUGUCUAAACCUUAUCAUCUAGAGGAAGGUGAAGUCGUAACA
This 325-nucleotide ribosomal RNA is filed under the name uncultured eukaryote. RNAcentral's name for it is "partial 18S ribosomal RNA". It matches the Rfam family "Eukaryotic small subunit ribosomal RNA", at positions 1470 to 1796 of the family's 1831-position model. The record is from RNAcentral.